This 6471-nucleotide long non-coding RNA is filed under the name Marmota monax (woodchuck). Lineage: Eukaryota; Metazoa; Chordata; Mammalia; Rodentia; Sciuridae. The record is from RNAcentral.
CAAGAUCUCACUAUACUGGCCAGGCUGUCCUUGAACUCUUUUUUUUUUUUUACUAUUAUUAUUUCUUACAUAUAUCACAAUAGAGGAGUGCAUUACGUUCAUAAUUUUUUUGCAUUACAAUUCUUAAUACACCUUUAUACCACAAUUUAUCAAAUCUCUGUAUAUAAGGUAUGUUGACACCAAAUUCACAUCUUCAUACAUGAAUUUUGUAUAAUGAUGACCAUCUCCUUCCACUAUCCUUGCUAUUCUCAUUCUCCCUCCUUUUCCCUCCCACCCCUAUUCCCUAUCUAGAGGUAAUUUUCCACCCAUACUCUCCCUCCCUACCCCACUUUGAGUCACCCCCCCUUAUAUCAGAGAAAACAUUCGGCAUUUGUUUUUUUGGGAUUGGCUAACUUCACUUAGCAUAAUCUGCUCUAAUGCCAUCCAUUUCCCUGCAAAUGCCAUGAUCUUAUUAUUUUUUAGUGCUGAGUAAUAUUCCAUUAUGUAUAAAUGCCACAUUUUUUUAUCCAUUCAUCCACUGAAGGACAUCUAGAUUGGCUCCAUAAUUUAGCUAUUGUGAAUUGUGCUGCUAUGAACGUUGAAGUGGCUGUGUCCCUGUAGUAUGCUGGUUUUAGGUCCUUUUGGUAUAGUCUGAGAAGAGGAAUAGCUGGGUCAAAUGGUGCUUCCAUUCCCAGCUUUCCAAGGAAUCUCCAUGUCCUUGAACUGUUGAACUCCUGAUCUCAAUUGAUUUUCCUACCUCAGGCUUCCAGGUAGCUGAGACUAUGGACAGAGGCCCUCCAUGCCUGACAUUCUGACUUUUUAUUACAUCUAUCUAAUUAAUGGAUGUAAGGAAGUAUCUCAUUGUGAUUUUGUUUGUGGAGCUGGGGAUUGAAUCCAGGGCCUUCUGCAAGCUAGGCUAGUGCUUUACCACAGAAUUAUAUCCCCAGCCAAAUCUUUUAACAUUUUUAAAUGUUUUUUAAAAAUUUGAAACAAGGUCUUUGUAAAUUGCCCAGGCUGGCCUCAAACUUGUGAAUAUCCUGCCUAGCCUCCAGAGUAGCUGAGAUUAUAGGUUCAACCACACCCAACUUCCAGUUGGAUCAUUUUAAAUCCAUUCUAUAAAUAUCUGCCUUUGAUUUUAGUGUUUGGUCCAUUUACAUUUAAUAUAAUUACUAAUAAUGUAAGAUUUACAUCAGUAAUCUUGCUAUUUGUUUUCUGUGUGUCUUAUGCUUAUUUUUUGUCUUCUAUUUCCCCAUUACUGCUUUCUUUUGUUUUUUGUAUGUUCUGUUAUAUUUUCUUAAUUACUUUGUUGUUUCUUUUAUUUUCUAUUUUUAAUUAUUUUCUUAGUGGUUGUCUUAGGGACUACAAUUAACCUCUUAGCUUGAAAACAAACUCCCAGACCCAGUGGUACAUGGGAUGAUGAGACAGAAGGAAUGCAAGUUGGAGACCAGCCUGAGCAACUUAGUGAGACCCUGUCAAAUCUAGUUCAGGGCUGGGUAUGUAGUUCAAUGGUACAGCAUAUGCUCAGCAUUUGCAAGGCCUUGGGUUCAAUUGCCAUAACCACAAAACAAAACAACAAACCCUCCUUCAGAUUAAGGCCAGCUUAAUUUUUGUAGUAUACAUGCUUUUUCCCCCCUGAUAAACCAUUUCUUUUCCCUUCCUUUGUGCUAUUACUGAUAUACACUUAUCUUUAUACAUUGUAUACCCAUCAAAACAAGUUUUAUAAAUAUUGCUUUAUGUAGUUGUUCCUUAAAUUAGAUAGGAAAAUAAAAGUUACAAAUAAAAAUACAUUUAUACUGGCUUUUAUAUUUGCCUAUGUAUUUACCUUUAAUGGUACGCUGUGCUUCUUGAAUUUAUUUUAAGCUAUUGUUAAAAUUUUUUAAACUAUUGAGCUUACAUCUGCUAUUGACUUCAGAUAUUUCUCCGUUUCAAUAGUUUUUGUAUUGUAAUUAUCUAAAGUAAUGUUGCUUAGUGGAACUAAUGGAUUUUGAUCAAAAGUUCUAGAGUCUACUAAUGGCUUUCAGUCCAUUGACUGAUUUUAUAAUCUGGAUUAAGCCAUGUAGUCACUAUCUAGACUUCAAUUUCCUUGACUCAAAAGUGUCUCCACAUUUGACACUGUAGAACUGCUGAUUUCAAAUGAUACAUGUUCCCAAGUAUAUGUUCUAUCACAGAUUAGAGAAGUUCUUUCAUAAUCUAGUCUACCAGAAAAAAAGGUCAAAAGCUUUAUAUAAUAUUAUCAAUUAGUGCUCCAACAAUGAGAGAAAUUAUUUAGGAAAAAAAUAAAAUAGAAAACCUACUUCUGAUGACCUAAUGCUAUUUGCAAUAUGCUGAAAUAAAAAAUCCUUCAUCUUGCAAAUUGCUUUCUGGGGACAUUCUAUGAAAACAAAUAUAACUGAAAGAAUCCUCUUAACAAUAUACCUGUUAACAAAUACCCAUUUAUUUUAAAAAGUAUAAUCAUAGCCUAGCAUAAGGAUCAGAUAUACCUGAUUCUCUAGAUUAGAUUUUUUAAACAUUUUUUGUAGUUGUAGAUGGACAGAAUUCCUUUAUUUUAUUUGUUUAUUUUUAUGUGGUGCUGAAGAUUGAACCUAGUGCCUCACACAUGCGAGGCAAGCACUCUACCACUGAGCCCCAGCCACAGCCUCUAGAUUAGAUUUAAUGUGUUAUUUUCCUGUUUCACUGGGUCUGAGGUUGACUAUUCCUUUUUUUUUUUUUUUUUUUUGGUACCAGGGAUUGAACUCAGGGGCACUUGACUACUGAGCCACAUCCCCAGUCCUAUUUUUUUAAAUAUACCUUUAUUUAUUUAUUUUUAUGAGGCGCUCAGGAUCAAACCCAGGGCCUCACACAUACUAGUCAAGUGUUCUACCAUAGAGCCACAACCCCAAUCCCCCAUCCCUAUUUUUUGUAUUUUAUUUAGAGAGAGGGUCUCACUGAGUUGCUUAGUGUCUCACUAUUGCUGAGGCUGGCUUUGAACUCGCAAUCCUCCUGCCUCAGCCUAGCGAGCUGCUGGGAUUACAGGCGUGCACCACCGCACCCAGCCUAUCAUUUUUUCCUAAUAUUUAUUUUUUAAUUGUAGUUGGACACAAUGCCUUUAUUUUAUUUAUUUUUAUGUGGUGCUGAGGAUUGAACGUAGGGCCUCAAACAUACUAGGCGAGAGCUCUACUGCUGAGCCACAAUCCCAGCUCCCUAUCAUUUUUUUUUUAAGCAGAAAAUAGUCAUAUUCACCUUGGAAAUGAUUUUAGCUAGUCAAAUAUUAACUUUUUAGGGAUAUCACUUAAUUCCUACAAACCAAUGACCUAUAAAAUAUUCUGGCUUUUUUUUUUUUUCCUUUUCUUUUGCGGUACUAAAGAGUGAACCUAGGGCCUCACAUAUACUAGGCAAAGGCUCCACAACUGAGCUACAUCCCUAGAUCUUGUUUUGGCCAUUUUUGUUGACCUCAUUAAUAAAAGAGAGAAAAAAAAAAGAUUCCUUUAUACCUAAAGCCAAAGGUGAAAUUCUUCAUUAUAGACAUUUGAAGAUUGAAUUUUAGCAGGGACAUCAGUUACACCUAGAAAAACAAGGUAGUAGUUAUUUGUGAGUUUUGGCUUUUGCUCCUGUCCAACUUGGAAACAUCUUUCAUAUUCAGGUUUUAUUGGUUAAUGAUGUUUAUUGGUUAAUGAUCAGCAUAAUUCCUAAUUAUUAAAGAAAGAGUAAGUCAAAGUAGAUGACCUGGUUAGUUAUGUACUGGUAUGAUUGAAAACUUACUAGGCAUUUGAUAAUAAAGAAUUCACUUUGUCCUGCCAGUUUAGGAGGAAAAAGAGGCUAGACUGACUGUAUUGUGAUCUGCGUAACCACUGUGCAAUCUUCCAUGCCAAAGUUGGUGGUAUAGCACCUUGGAAGAGCACUUGUACAGUGUGGGUGAAGCGCUGAGUUUGAUCUCUCGUAAAACAACAACAACAAAUAAACAAAUAAAUAAAGGAAAAAUAAUUUUCCAUCUGAUCCUAUUUUAAUGGGUAUCUAGCUUUUGCUUUAUGCUCUUCCAGGUAUUUAAAACUAUCCUUUAUACCAAAUUAUAUUGUUAUAUUAUGUGCAUAUAUGAAUGUGUAACCACAAAUACCACUAUUAUAUAUAAUUAUACACCAAUUUUUAAAAAAGAAAUUUUUUUAAAAAUUAAAAUAUUCCUUGUAACCAAGUAAAAAUGAAACAUAUUUUGGUCUUCUUUCACACUCAAAAGAAGGUUUAGGGCUGGGCAUGGUGGUGCAUGCCUAUAAUCCCAGUGGCUUGGGAGACUGAGACAGAAGGAUUGAGGGUUCAAAGCCAGCCUCAGCAAUGGCAAGGCAUUUAGCAACUCAGUGAGACCCUGUCUCUAAAUAAAAUAUAAAAUAGGGCUAGGGAUGUGGCUUAGUGGUUAAGUGCCCCUGAGUUCAAUCCCCAGUACCCAAAAAAAAAAAAAGGGAGGGGGGCUGGGGGUACCAUAAAUAAAUAAAUAAAUAAAGGUCAUUGAAACUAAAAAAAAUUAAAAGGGGUUGCAAUCCUCUGAGAAGGAAAUGAAGAAAACUACCCCAUUUACAAUAACCUCGGAAAAAAAAAAUAAGAUACUUGGGAAUCAACAAAAGAGGUGAUUCAAAUCAAAGAAGACCUUAGAAGAUGGAAAGAUCUAUCUUGCUCUUGGAUAGGCAGAAUUAAUAUUAUCAAAAUGACCAUACUACCAAAAGCACUAUACAGAUAUAAUGCAAUUCCAAUCAAAAUCCCAAUGGCAUUCCUCAUAGAAAUAGAAAAAGCAAUCAUGAAAUUCAUCUGUAAAAAUAAGAGACCCAGAAUAGCUAAAGCAAUCCUUAGCAGGAAGAGUGAAGCAGGUGGCAUCGCUAUACCAGACCUUAGACUAUUCUACAGAGCAAUAGUAACAAAAACAGCAUGGUAUUGGCAUUAAAACAGACUGGUAGACCAAUGUUACAGAAUAGAGGACACAGAGACUAACCCACAAAAUUAAAAUUAUCUUAUAUUAGACAAAGGUGCCAAAAACAUGCAUUGGAGAAAAGAUAGAAUCUUCAACAAAUGGUGCUGGGAAAACUGAAAAUCCAUAUGCAACAAAAUGAAAUUAAACCCCUAUCUCUCACCAUGCACAAAACUCAACUCAAAGUGGAUCAAGGACCUAGGAAUAAACCAGAGACUCUGCGUCUAAUAGAAGAAAAGUAGGUCCUAAUCUUCAUCAUGUGGGAUUAGGCCCCAACUUCCUUAAUAAGUCUCCUAUAUAGUGCAAGAAUUAAAACUAAGAAUCAAUAAAUGGGAUGGAAUCAAACUAAAAAGUUUCUUCUCAGCAAAAGAAACAAUCCAUGAGGUGAACAGAGAGCCUACAUCCUGGGAGCAAAUUUUUAACCCUCAUACAUCAGAUAGAGCACUAAUCUCUAGGGUAUAUAAAGAACUCAAAAAGUUAAGCACCAUAAAAAUAAAUAACCCAAUCAACAAAUCGGCCAAUGACCUGAACAGAUACUUCUCAGAAGAGGAUAUACAAUCAAUUAACAAAUAUAUAAAAAAAUGUUCAUCCAUCUCUAGCAACUGGAGAAAUGCAAAUCAAAACUAUUCUAAGUUAUCACCUCACUCCAGUCAGAAUGGCAGCUGUUAUGAAAACAAACAACAAUAAGUGUUGGCGAGGAUGUGGGGAAAAAGGUACACUCAUACAUUGGUGGUGGGACUGCAAAUUGGUGUAGCCAAUAAAGAAAGCAGCAUGGAGAUUCCUUGGAAAUCUGGGAAUGGAACUACCAUUUGACCCAGCUAUCCCUCUCCUCGGUUUAUACCCAAAAGACUUUAAAACAGCAUGCUACAGGGACACAGCCACAUCAAUGUUUAUAGCAGCACAAUUCACAAUAGCUAAACUGUGGAGCCAACAUAGAUGCCCUUCAGUGGAUGAAUGGAUUUUAAAAAAAUGUGGCAUGUAUACACAAUGGGAUUUUACUCAGCAAUAAAAGAGAAUAAAAUCAUGGCAUUUGCAGGUAAAUGGAUGGCGUUGGAGAAGAUAAUGCUAAGUGAAGUUAGCCAGUCCAAACAAACAAAUGCUGAAUGUUUUCUCUGAUAUAAGUGAAGCCAGAUUUAAAAUUAGGUAGUUAGUGUAGUUAGGUAAAUCGGGUCCAAUAUCGAGUGAAAUCUAAAAUGGAGGCCAUGCUGACAAUGAUUCCGGGAAACGCAGGACAACUCAUGGAAUGUUAAUGAAGUCUCAGAAAGGCCCUAGGCCAAAGUCCACCCCAAAGAAAUGUUAAUGGAACCCAGGAAACAGCCCCCAACACAUUUGGAGAUAGCCCAUCCCAAGAAGUGAUAAUGAAGUCCUUCCUGCCCAGACUACUUGUUUGGCCCACCUGUGUCCUAACCCUUCCCCCUUACAUUCCAUCACCAAAACUAUAAAAUGGGGAGACAACCGCACUUCCAUGGAUUCCACCUCUUGGGUCCCCUUCUUCCUCCGGGAGAAGUCUUUUCUGCUGUCCUUUAAUAAAAUUCUAAUUUCUACUCUGACCUUGCCUCUGCGUG